Malus domestica (apple) is the source of this 3433-nucleotide non-coding RNA. The record is from RefSeq and is a predicted model, not a curated record. Lineage: Eukaryota; Viridiplantae; Streptophyta; Magnoliopsida; Rosales; Rosaceae.
AAUCCGCACUUCGAUAAAUAUCAAUUAAAUGAGCUACUAAUCCAUCUAGAUGCAACCUACAAAUCAACAAACAAAUAUGUACCACUUGAGCCCUCAUAUCUCGACACUAUAAACAACCAAUCAUUAUGAAACACCCCAACCCCUUUUAUUUCUCUGCUCUCCCCGUAACCUCAUCCUUCUUCUUCGUUUUCUCCCUCUGCAACCUCGUCUCUCUCUGUCUCUUCCUCUCCUGCACAGUGAUCACUCAAGCAUCACCUACAACUACAUUCUUGGCUCGAGGUCGUCAUCAUCAUCAUCGUUGAACUGUCUCUUUCUCUCUCUCUGCUAUCGCAGCAGCUCGUGAGCCCGAAAGCUUUCCGCGAGCUCCUUGACUAGUUUGGAAUUGGAGACAUCACAGGCAAGCACACCAACUUCCGGCGGACCCGAGCACUUCGAGGGCUCUUUCCGUUCGCUCACGGCAGUUCCACGACGAAACGAGGGUGCCUAAAUACUCUACUCUUUUCCCUCUUCAUUUUAGUGUUUGUUUGGAACCCUAGUUUGCUAGAAAACCGUUCGCCGGAGCUGUAGCAACUCCGGUUUUCCCCUCCGGUAUUUCGCAGGCCUUUUAGGCCACCCAUCAACCUCGGGCCUUAGGCCCGUGCAUGGAUCAGCCCAAGACACCAGAAACCCAACCCGUUCCCUUUUUAUUUUUAGUUACUUUUCUUUUUAAAACCCAAAUACCUAAGGGGCCUUGGCUCGUGUACUAAACCCUAUAGCCCAGCCCGUUUUCUUUUAUUUUUUUUAUUUUGGGUUUUAAGGGUCCCCGGGCCUUAGGGCCUCUUUCCUUUUAUUUAAGGGCUUAAAGCCCAAUUUCCUCCUUAGUCCUAAGGGCUUAAUACCCGGCCUUGGGUUCUAGGUUUGCGGGCCGUGUGGUGCUGUGUGUGUGUGUAUGUAUGAUUGUGCAUGUGCGUAUGUGUAUAUGUAUGCACGUGUGUGCGUGUUACCGUGUGUGUGUGCAUGUGUGUGGUAUGUUGUGUGUGUGUAAGUGUGCAUGUGUGCAUGUGUGCUAUGCAUAUGUACAUGUGUGUUGUGCACGCAUGUAUGUGUGUUGUGUGUGGAUUUGGGAUUAAGCCCAAACCACCAUUUUUAUUCCUAGGCCUAUCCAAACCCAAAACCCAAUAGGUCCUAACCCUUUUUAACCCAAACUUUUUUAUCUAGAAACCCAAAACCCUUAGGCUUAAGGCCUUCUGGUCUUUUUUUAACCAGGACCCUUCUUAGGGUAAUUCGACGUUCUGAAUUCGUUUCCAAUGUCCGUUUUUCCAAAUUCAAUUGUUUUUAUAUAGUUUUAUUUAUUGGACUCUUUAUGUGCUUAGCGGCAAUUAUUGUGACGCUUCCGUCUUCACUAGUGGCGCAGUUUUUUGCGGCUAAGUACUAUGAAGUCAUUUGAACAAAACUCAUAGCUAGCCUGCGACAUUGAGAAGGGAGAAGAUGGGGAUUCAAGGGCUUCAGCCGCUGUUGAGAUAGAUAACGGCGCCAAUCCACAUUAAGGACUUGGAGGGCACUUGCGUGGCAGUGGAUGCCUACUCUUGGCUUCACAAAAGCUGCAUGUUGACAUUUCACCUUUAAUUGCACGUGAACUAAUCCAGGUAUUCAAGCAAGAGUAUGCAUGUCAUGUGGUGGCUCCUUACGAGGCAGAUUCUCAAAUGACGUUCUUGGCUGUCAGCAAGCAGGUAGGUCAGCAGUUAUCACUGAGGAUUCAGAUCUUAUACCAUUCGGCUGACCCAGGAUUAUCUUUAAAAUGGACAAAUUUGGGCAAGGUGUUGAGUUUCAAUAUUCCAUGCUACAUCGGAACAAGGACUUGACUUUUUCUGGAUUCACAAAACAGAUGCUUCUGGUGAUGUGUCUUCUGAGUGGUUGUAACUAUUUAAAGUCGUUGCCUGGAAUGGGACUGAAAAAGAGCUCACAUCCUCAUCAAAAAGUUCACAAGUUAUGACAAGGUAAUUAAGCACACGAAGUACAGUACUGCUUCAGUUCCUCCCCUAUUUGAAGAAUCAUUCAAGAAAGCAAUAUUGACGUUCCAGCAUCAACGGGUUCAUGGUUCCGUUUCUCAAGAUAUUGUGUAUUUAUCUGAUGUCUGAUGAUGUUGUGGAUGAUUUCGACUUCUUAGGACCAUAUCCUUUAUAUUGUUAAUCUCAGUUAACCAUCUCAUUACGUUCUUUUAUUGUUUCGUUACUUCCUUGCUCCUCCUAUUCUUUUCAAUACAUAAAUUGUGGCUUAACCUGAGAUACAUCUGUACCACAACAUAUAGCUAAAGGUAUAGCAGAAGUUGAUAUCGAUCCAUUUACCUAAAUGAAAUUCUAGGAAGAGAACGUUAGUGCCGACAGAACUUACCAACCUAAAAUGUCAAUCUUGGAAGGACAAAUAAAAGGAAAGAUUUGCCUGUGCAGAAUACCUCCUGACAAAAUAUUUUUGUAUCCUUUGAAUCCCCUUUUUCUUAAGCUUGAUUACAUUACCUAGGUUUUAAUUCAGCAUAUUGUGCUAAAAAAUCAGUAUAAAAUAAUGUUCACAGUAUUGCAUUUUUGUAGCUUAUAUUGUGCUUGAGCUCAAGUUCUGUAGUUUUCUUGGACAACUAAAGGCUUUGCCUCUCUUGAAGCAAAGACAAAAUUCAGGCUCCGCGGAACUCACCUGAUUCUCCAAGUCCAGUUGAUGAUUCUUCUUUCAGUCCCAGUGAAAAUUCCUCUGCGGAUGAUGUUCCGUGUAAAACAAACUGCUCAAAGAUAUCCCUUGUUAACUCUGACAACAUGGGAAUUGAACCUCCUAGUGGUAUAAGAUGACCUCGACACUGAUGUCCCUGAUUUAUUAGAAUCUCAAAAUCAUGACAUGGUUUGCAUGAGACGAAGUCCAGAAAAUACAUUGUUGCAACAAUCCAGACAUAUUCUAUUCAUAAGCCUUGUCUAACGCUGCAUACGGAGCGUGAAUGUAAGAAUGCCCCAGACACAGUUGAAGGUGGUAAGACAAGAACGGAGCACAGAAAGGUUAUUGUAAGUUCUCAUUUCAAGGAUAAGUCAAUCAAUAAACACAAUCCGGAAGAUAAACAAGAAAAGCAAUUGCUAAAGGAUGAUCUUGCUAUUGUUAUGCACGAGGAUGCAGUUCCUGAGAGUGCUUAGUUUGAGAAUAGCUAUUUUAAAGGCAAAGUUGCGAAAAGGACAACCUCCCCACAUGACAACGUUCAAAUGGAAAAUGUGAAACUAAAACAACUGUGUAUCAGUGCAUCCCUUCCAGAUGAUGGUUCCUGUGCAUCUAGCCUGAACAAAACAAUUACAGACACAAAUAAAGAAGGAAAAUUCAGAUCCAAUAUUUCCCUUUUAGGCCGUUAUUCAGAUAUAGCGAAGAAAUCAAUGGAAAGAUAUGUAUCAGUAAUAUCAUCAUUUAUAUUUUCCUCGUCUAGUUCUCA